This 1926-nucleotide ribosomal RNA is filed under the name metagenome. RNAcentral describes it as "bacterial LSU rRNA". It matches the Rfam family "Bacterial large subunit ribosomal RNA", at positions 304 to 2359 of the family's 2925-position model. The record is from RNAcentral.
GCCAAUGNUUUUUUGAUAAUCAAAGUAGAACCAUCUGGAAAGUUGGGCCAUAGUAGGUGAUAGCCCUGUAUAUUAAUGAUUAUCUUAAAAAUUCGAGUAGGACGGGACACGUGAAAUCUUGUCUGAACGUGGGGGGACCACCCUCCAAGCCUAAGUACUCUUUAGCGACCGAUAGUGAACAAGUACCGUGAGGGAAAGGUGAAAAGAACCCCGACGAGGGGAGUGAAAUAGAUCUGAAACUGUAUGCUUACAAUCAGUCGGAGCCCGCAAGGGUGACGGCGUACCUUUUGUAUAAUGGGUCAGCGACUUAAUUUAUCAAGCAAGCUUAAGCCGAUAGGUGUAGGCGUAGCGAAAGCGAGUCUUAAUAGGGCGUCUAGUUUGGUGGAUUAGACCCGAAACCGAGUGAUCUAGCUAUGAGCAGGUUGAAGGUGCAGUAACAUGCACUGGAGGACCGAACCCACUUAUGUUGAAAAAUGAGGGGAUGACUUGUGGCUAGGGGUGAAAGGCCAAUCAAACUCGGAGAUAGCUGGUUCUCCGCGAAAUCUAUUUAGGUAGAGCGUCAUGUGAAUACCAUCGGGGGUAGAGCACUGGAUGGGCUAGGGGGACUCACCGUCUUACCAAACCUAACCAAACUCCGAAUACCGAUGAGUAAUGCAUGGCAGACACACUAUGGGUGCUAAGGUCCAUAGUGGAAAGGGAAACAGCCCUAACCGCCAGUUAAGGUCCCUAAAUUAUUGCUAAGUUGAAAAGGAUGUGGAACGUCCAAAACAGCCAGGAGGUUGGCUUAGAAGCAGCCAUCCUUUAAAGAAAGCGUAACAGCUCACUGGUCUAAUCAAGAUGUUCCGUGCCGAAAAUGUAACGGGGAUCAAGCAAUAUACCGAAACUGCGGGUGCUAUUUAUAGCGCGGUAGCGGAGCGUUCCGUAAGUCUGUGAAGAAUAUUCGUGAGAAUAUUUGGAGAUAUCGGAAGUGAGAAUGUUGACAUGAGUAACGAUAAAGAGGGUGAGAAACCCUCUCGCCGAAAGUCCAAGGGUUCCUGCUUAAAGUUAAUCUGAGCAGGGUUAGCCGGCCCCUAACGCGAGGGCGAAAGCCGUAGUGGAUGGGAAUGAGGUUAAUAUUCCUCAGCCAGUGGGUAGUGACGGAUUUGGUAACCUGUAUUUUCUUAUUGGAUUGAGAAUGCAGCGAACAAGUUCCAGGAAAUAGCUCCCACAUUACUGACCGUACCCCAAACCGACACAGGUGGACGAGUAGAGAAUACUAAGGCGCUUGAGAGAACUAUGUUGAAGGAACUCGGCAAAAUACCUCCGUAACUUCGGGAGAAGGAGGCCCGGUCUUAAGGCAACUUUUGGUCGGGGGCACAAAAUUGGGGGUGGCGACUGUUUACUAAAAACACAGGACUCUGCGAAGCCGUAAGGCGACGUAUAGGGUCUGACGCCUGCCCGGUGCUGGAAGGUUAAGAGGAGGAGUGCAAGCUCCGAAUUGAAGCCCCAGUAAACGGCGGCCGUAACAAUAACGGUCCUAAGGUAGCGAAAUUCCUUGUCGGGUAAGUUCCGACCUGCACGAAUGGCGUAACGACUUCCCCGCUGUCUCCAACNUAGACUCAGUGAAAUUGAAUUUCCCGUGAAGAUGCGGGAUAACUGCGGUUAGACGGAAAGACCCCGUGCACCUUUACUACAGCUUUGCAGUGAUAUUAGUAAUGCUAUGUGUAGGAUAGGUGGGAGGCUUUGAAGCAUUAGCGCCAGUUAGUGUGGAGCCAUCCUUGAAAUACCACCCUUAUCCUUAUUGAUAUCUAACCGCGGUCCGUGAAACCGGAUCCGGGACCCUGCAUGGUGGGUAGUUUGACUGGGGCGGUCGCCUCCCAAAGAGUAACGGAGGCGCGCGAAGGUAGGCUCAGGCCGGUCGGAAAUCGGUCGUUGAGUGCAAUGGCA